RNAcentral lists this transfer RNA (76 nucleotides) under Oscillospiraceae bacterium. RNAcentral describes it as "tRNA-Thr". It matches the Rfam family "tRNA". Rfam says of the family: Transfer RNA (tRNA) molecules are approximately 80 nucleotides in length. The record is from RNAcentral. Lineage: Bacteria; Bacillati; Bacillota; Clostridia; Eubacteriales; Oscillospiraceae.
GCUGGUGUAGCUCAGUCGGUAGAGCAGCUGAUUCGUAAUCAGCAGGUCGCGGGUUCAAAUCCCAUCACCAGCUCCA